UCUGGAAACCUGGACCUGGAGGCCUUUAUCCAGCUGGCUGCCAAGAUUGGGCUGUAUGUGAUUCUGCGACCAGGGCCCUACAUCUGUAGUGAGAUUGACCUCGGGGGCUUGCCCAGCUGGCUCCUCCAAGACCCUGACAUGAAGCUGAGAACAACUUACCAUGGCUUCACUAAAGCAGUGGACCUUUACUUUGACCACCUGAUGUCCAGGGUGGUGCCA
Molecule: long non-coding RNA, 219 nt
Organism: Peromyscus leucopus (white-footed mouse)
Lineage: Eukaryota; Metazoa; Chordata; Mammalia; Rodentia; Cricetidae
Exons: 3
Source: RefSeq, a predicted model, not a curated record